UACGGGGGGAGCAAGCGUUGUUCGGAUUUACUGGGCGUAAAGGGCGCGUAGGCGGCCAGCGCAAGUCAGUUGUGAAAUCUCCGGGCUUAACUCGGAACGGUCAACUGAUACUGUGCGGCUAGAGUGCGGAAGGGGCAACUGGAAUUCUUGGUGUAGCGGUGAAAUGCGUAGAUAUCAAGAGGAACACCUGCGGCGAAGGCGGGUUGCUGGGCCGACACUGACGCUGAUGCGCGAAAGCUAGGGGAGCGAACGGG
This 254-nucleotide ribosomal RNA is filed under the name uncultured bacterium. RNAcentral describes it as "partial 16S ribosomal RNA". It matches the Rfam family "Bacterial small subunit ribosomal RNA", at positions 524 to 776 of the family's 1533-position model. The record is from RNAcentral.